UAGAGUUUGAUCCUGGCUCAGAUUGAACGCUGGCGGAAUGCUUUACACAUGCAAGUCGAACGGCAGCACGGGUGCUUGCACCUGGUGGCGAGUGGCGAACGGGUGAGUAAUGCACCGGAACGUAUCCAAUAAUGGGGGAUAACGCACCGAAAGGUGUGCUAAUACCGCAUACGCCCUGAGGGGGAAAGCGGGGGAUCGUAAGACCUCGCGUUAAUGGAGCGGCCGAUGCCGGAUUAGCUAGUUGGUGAGGUAAAGGCUCACCAAGGCGACGAUCCGUAGCUGGUCUGAGAGGACGACCAGCCACACUGGAACUGAGACACGGUCCAGACUCCUACGGGAGGCAGCAGUGGGGAAUUUUGGACAAUGGGCGCAAGCCUGAUCCAGCCAUUCCGCGUGAGUGAAGAAGGCCUUCGGGUUGUAAAGCUCUUUCGCAAGGAAAGAAAACUUAUCUCCUAAUACGAGGUGAGGUUGACGGUACCUUGAUAAGAAGCACCGGCGGACUACGUGCCAGCAGCCGCGGUAAUA
This 525-nucleotide ribosomal RNA is filed under the name uncultured bacterium. RNAcentral describes it as "bacterial SSU rRNA". It matches the Rfam family "Bacterial small subunit ribosomal RNA", at positions 1 to 525 of the family's 1533-position model. The record is from RNAcentral.